RNAcentral lists this ribosomal RNA (250 nucleotides) under uncultured bacterium. RNAcentral's name for it is "partial 16S ribosomal RNA". It matches the Rfam family "Bacterial small subunit ribosomal RNA", at positions 524 to 773 of the family's 1533-position model. The record is from RNAcentral.
UACGAAGGGUGCAAGCGUUACUCGGAAUUACUGGGCGUAAAGGGUGCGUAGGUGGUUUGUUAAGUCUGCUGUGAAAUCCCCGGGCUCAACCUGGGAAUGGCAGUGGAUACUGGCAAGCUAGAGUGCGGUAGAGGGUAGUGGAAUUCCCGGUGUAGCAGUGAAAUGCGUAGAGAUCGGGAGGAACACCAGUGGCGAAGGCGGCUACCUGGACCAGCACUGACACUGAAGCACGAAAGCGUGGGGAGCAAAC